Molecule: long non-coding RNA, 767 nt
Filed under: Citrus sinensis (sweet orange)
Lineage: Eukaryota; Viridiplantae; Streptophyta; Magnoliopsida; Sapindales; Rutaceae
Description: long non-coding RNA (CSIN_LNC002499)
Source: RNAcentral
UCAAAAGAAAAUCCCACAAUUUUCUCUCACCUCAAUCCGAUUUCUUUGCUCUCUCAAAAAAGAAAUCCAUAAAAUCUCAUCUCUCUUUCAAAUUCAUAGUUUCUCUCAUCCCGAUUUUUUCACUCAUCAUCUAAGAUCAAAUCCGCCGUCUCUCUCACACUAAUCAACCAAUCGGAUCCAUCUACCCAGGUAUUUAGUUUGUACAUGAGAGCUAGAGAGAGGCAGAGCCAGUAUCGUGUCCGCUACUUCUUUUCCAACCGUCCACCGUUACCUUCGUUGCACUGUUGUCUACAGCAUUAGUUCUUUAGCCUUUACUGUCGUCGUCCUGGCUUUGGCCGAAAUCAUUGCCCCGUGAGCUGCCCCAAGCUGCCAUCGAAAACCCUCAAAACAAGUUUUUUUGGUUGAUUUUUUGAGGUUUGGUUUUUAAGUGUUAUUUUUCUAUGGGUACCCUAAUUUUUUCUUGUUUGGUUAUAGGUGUUGUUUGCUUAUUUUGAGCUCUACACUCUUUGCUAGGAAUACUAAAGAUGGGCGCUCAAUAAUUUGGUAAGAACUUACCCAUUGUUCUGGGUCCGGCUUUUUUUUUUUUUUGGUUGUGAAUUUUGAGUUAAUUAUUUUGGGGUUGCAGAGCAAUCUUUAAAAAUCUAUGCAAUGGUGUAUCCUGGAAUGAAACCAAAAAAAGAGUUGAGGUUUAUGUUUGGAGUCAUUCUAGGACAUAUUGGAUUUACUGAUUCCCUAAUGUUCUUUUUCUUUUUCUUUUAUGCAAUGCA